GAUGAACGCUCGCUACAGGCUUAACACAUGCAAGUCGAGGGGAAACGACAUCGAAAGCUUGCUUUUGAUGGGCGUCGACCGGCGCACGGGUGAGUAACGCGUAUCCAACCUGCCCAUCACUUGGGAAUAACCUUGCGAAAGUAAGACUAAUACCCAAUGAUAUCCCACGAAGGCAUCGGAAUGGGAUUAAAGAUUUAUCGGUGAUGGAUGGGGAUGCGUCUGAUUAGCUUGUUGGCGGGGUAACGGCCCACCAAGGCAACGAUCAGUAGGGGCUCUGAGAGGAAGGUCCCCCACAUUGGAACUGAGACACGGUCCAAACUCCUACGGGAGGCAGCAGUGAGGAAUAUUGGUCAAUGGGCGAGAGCCUGAACCAGCCAAGUAGCGUGCAGGAAGACGGCCCUAUGGGUUGUAAACUGCUUUUAUAAGGGAAUAAAGUGGGUCACGUGUGACUUUUUGCAUGUACCUUAUGAAUAAGGACCGGCUAAUUCCGUG
RNAcentral lists this ribosomal RNA (492 nucleotides) under uncultured bacterium. Its description in RNAcentral is "partial 16S ribosomal RNA". It matches the Rfam family "Bacterial small subunit ribosomal RNA", at positions 28 to 507 of the family's 1533-position model. The record is from RNAcentral.